Long non-coding RNA from Chenopodium quinoa (quinoa), 967 nucleotides. RefSeq lists it as uncharacterized. The record is from RefSeq and is a predicted model, not a curated record. The transcript has 2 exons. NCBI's taxonomy places the organism in Eukaryota, Viridiplantae, Streptophyta, Magnoliopsida, Caryophyllales, Amaranthaceae.
CAUUCCCAUCAAUUCUCAUACCAACAACCAAAACACAAAGCAAUUCUUGAAAUCAUAGGUUCCUCUAAUAUUUAGAUUAAGUUAGAAGCUCAUAAUACCAAUUUCAAUGGUUACCUUGGCCAAAGACAAUUGGUUUAGAAGAAAGAGGAAGAGGAAAAAACAAAUUCAGAGAAUGUUAUUCAUCAGCAUUAUUGCAUCUGCAAUUCACCAAAUUAUACUCUGAUGGGUAUGAGACUUAAACCAAGCAGCUGUGGAAGUGACAUUCGUUGUGGUCAUCAACUCUUUAAGGCUAUAAUCCUCUCUUCGGCGUGGCGCCUGUCACCUAAAAGAGGCUCGACUUCCAUGAAGGGACUUGGCCCUUUGAGAGAUGAUGACUAGACACACAACAAUACACUUCCACAAUAUAUUUUAAGAAGGUUCUCUAGUUUGAAAAGCAGUCUCAUACCUCUUCAAAUGGGAAAAGGUUGCAAGGGUAGAAUUGAAUUCUUUUUUGUAUGUCUAUGACAUUCAAGAGAGAUUUUCUACCAGCUAAUUUUUUCUCUCAGUCGCCCAAUUAUCUUUUCUACCAUGUUUGCUCUUCCUUCCUUUAGCAACAACGUUGUUGAAGGCGGUUGUAUCUGCUUCAAUAUUAGAUCAAAAGUGGACAUAUGGAGUUGUGGAGCACUGGUUCUAUAUCGAUUUGAUGACCGAUAUAAGACUGACACAACUCCAGGCAUCUACUUGACAUCAAAUUAGAGUUGACAAAAUAAGGUGCUGAGAAAGGAGGAAGUGAUUGAUGAUAGAGGAUACAAAUAGACUGAAGUAUUUGAAAUAUUGCAGCUGCUACAAUAUAAGGGGCCUUCAAAUUAUGUAAACCAUAUUGAUUACUUUUUGUACAAUACUCUUUAAAUCAGAGUAACUGUUAUUCUUUGUGUUAGGAGAUUCUGGAAAAAGACUACAAGAAAGAGGAAGGAAAGGGGGGGGGGGG